CGGGCCAGGCCUACCGCGACGCCAGGGCAACUCCCGCUUCCCCCAGCUCUGCUGGCCUCGGUGCCUCAGGCUUCGCGCUGGCUGCCUAACGCCGCCGCCGCGGUGAAAACCCAACCCGGAAGCUACCGAGAGGGGGCGCAAACGCACCCGCCACUAGGGGCGCUUUGCGCCGCCGCCAAGCCGCGCCCCCGGCACCUGACCACGCCUCUCAGACUGCGCCGGCGCGGGCGCUGUCCCCGACAUCCUGAGGCUCGCGGGUGGGGACUGCUCUAGAGCGCUGGCACCGAGUCUGUCCCGCGGGGACGGGCAGCGCGUACGGAGGUGCCGCAGGUGAUGACAGCGGCAGAGCCUAGCAGUCAGACAGAACCGCCGUUCCUCGUCCGAGGUGGACGUGUCUCUGCCUGAGCGCACAGGGCUGGAGUGCAGGGCCGGAGGUGGGGGCGGGGCUUCAGGUGAGGCCCGGAUGUGUAGAGGUCUUUACACUGGGGGCAGGAGUCCAGGUAGCCCUAACCAGGAGCUGCGGGUGGAUCAGGCUCCUGACGGGAAUGGAGUGGGAUUGUGACUGCCCAGGAUCACACCCCGAGCUCGAUGGUCCCAAAGCCUCAGACACCAGCUCAUCCGCCUUGCAGUCUCUCCCAGCUCAGCCUGGUGUUGGAAAGAGAAACAUGAAGGUCCCCACGGCAGAACAGUCACAUCCUAGAUGGUAGAAGGAAGCCAGGUCUGCAGCUCAACGCAGAAUUUACACUCUGGGCGCUCCACCUCCAGCCCCUUACUAUGUAAUCUUGUACUACCAUUUUCUUAUCUGAGAAUGGAAAUAAUAGAGGUGACGUGAGAAUUCAGUUAAUGUAUUUAUGAAGCCUUUAGAACAAGG
This 871-nucleotide long non-coding RNA is filed under the name Marmota monax (woodchuck). The record is from RNAcentral. Lineage: Eukaryota; Metazoa; Chordata; Mammalia; Rodentia; Sciuridae.